UAUGACAAAUGUCUGCAUCUGUGCCUAAGC
Molecule: non-coding RNA, 30 nt
Filed under: Homo sapiens (human)
Lineage: Eukaryota; Metazoa; Chordata; Mammalia; Primates; Hominidae
Source: RNAcentral